RNAcentral lists this microRNA precursor (70 nucleotides) under Chlorocebus sabaeus (green monkey). RNAcentral's name for it is "miRNA (ENSCSAG00000022721.1)". Lineage: Eukaryota; Metazoa; Chordata; Mammalia; Primates; Cercopithecidae. The record is from RNAcentral.
CCCUGGAGCAGGGGACCGCCAGGUUGCCUAAGGAGGGGUGAACCACCCCAGGUCAGAAACGGAGCAGGUC